Molecule: ribosomal RNA, 757 nt
Filed under: uncultured bacterium
Lineage: Bacteria
Description: bacterial SSU rRNA
Rfam family: Bacterial small subunit ribosomal RNA
Source: RNAcentral
AGAGUUUGAUCAUGGCUCAGAAUCAACGCUGGCGGCGCGCUUAACACAUGCAAGUCGCACGAGAAAGGGGAGCAAUCCCUGAGUAAAGUGGCGUACGGGUGAGUAACACGUGGAUCAUCUACCUUUUAGUGGGGAAUACCCCCGGGAAACUGGGGACAAUACCGCAUAAGCUCGUGAGAGGAAAGCAGCAAUGCGCUGAAAGAGGAGUCCGCGGCUGAUUAGCUAGUUGGUGAGGUAACGGCCCACCAAGGCGAAGAUCGGUAGCCGGCCUGAGAGGGCACACGGCCACACUGGCACUGAAAUACGGGCCAGACUCCUACGGGAGGCAGCAGUGGGGAAUCUUGCACAAUGGAGGAAACUCUGAUGCAGCGACGCCGCGUGAACGAUGAAGCCCUUCGGGGUGUAAAGUUCUUUCGACGGGAACGAUAAUGACGGUACCCGAAGAAGAAGCUGCGGCUAACUACGUGCCAGCAGCCGCGGUAAUACGUAGGCAGCAAGCGUUGUUCGGAAUUACUGGGCGUAAAAGAGUGCGUAGGCGGUGCUCUAAGUCUGUUGUGAAAUCUCCCGGCUUAACUGGGAGGGUGCGGCGGAAACUGGAGUGCUUGAGGGUGGGAGAGGUAAGCGGAAUUCCUGGUGUAGCGGUGAAAUGCGUAGAUAUCAGGAGGAACACCUGUGGUGUAGACAGCUUACUGGACCACUUCUGACGCUGAGGCACGAAAGCGUGGGUAGCAAACAGGAUUAGAUACCCUAGUAGUCC